GGGGUGUGCUCACAGAAGGGGGACUGAAGAAAUGGCUCAUCUGCUUACAACACAGCUGACAGGAGUCUGGGUUCAUUGUGACAAGGGGCACAAAAUGUAUGACCUUCCUAUGAAUAACUAUCCAACAUGU
This is a small nucleolar RNA of Moschus moschiferus (Siberian musk deer), 130 nucleotides long. NCBI's taxonomy places the organism in Eukaryota, Metazoa, Chordata, Mammalia, Artiodactyla, Moschidae. The record is from Ensembl.